Molecule: long non-coding RNA, 4519 nt
Filed under: Homo sapiens (human)
Lineage: Eukaryota; Metazoa; Chordata; Mammalia; Primates; Hominidae
Description: non-protein coding RAB11B-AS1:12
Source: RNAcentral
GAGAGGCUUGAUUGAGAACCUACCCGACUAUCAGAGGACCUGUCCGGGAAGAGAAAUGGGGCUACGUCCAGGUAAUGCUACGAUGCUUAACGUCCCGAUGACGUCAUAGGUCAGCGCGCGCUGCCCUGGUCGCCCCCCAAGCCCAUAAAUGACCAUUUCCGGGGACCUCAGCGCUGGGUCCCCUUUCUCGGUUGCAGUCUCCAUCUCUAUAUUGGGACUCACUGGGUUAUCCUUCUGUGCCUCAGUUUCCUCCUCUGUAAACUGAAGAAACCCGUCUCAUGGAAUCUUUUGAAAAUAACCAGAUCAGCCAGGCGCGGUGGCUCACGCCUGUAAUUCCAGGACUUUGGGAGGCCGAGGCUGGCGGAUCACGAGGUCAGGAGUUCGAGACCAGCCUGACCAACAUGGUGAAACCCCGUUUCUACUAAAAAUACAAAAAUUAGUCGGGCGUGGUCGCUGGUGCCUGUAAACCCAGCUACUCAGGAGGUUGAGGCAGGAGAAUCGCUUGAACCUGGGAGGUGGAGGUUGCAGUGAGCCGAGAUUGCACCAAGUGUGAAUCAACCGUCCACUUUCUGCUAUUCUUUGUUAAAUAAAUACUUUUAAAUCCUUACUGGAUACCAAUGCUCUCCAACAGGACCUCCUACCACUACCCCUCUUUUGUCCUAUAUUUUGCCACAUAGGUAAAAUAUAAAAAUAGGUAAUAUAGAAAAUAAAACACAUACUGCUGUAUUGUCAGGUAGUGAUAGGAUUUAUCACUACCUGACAAUACAGUAUGUGUUUGUUUUAUAUAUUUAGGGUGUACAGCGUGUGUUUUGAUACACAUGUACCCAGUGAAAUAAUAAUUAUGACAGUUUUUUUUUUUUUUUUUGAGACGGAGUUUUGCUGUCGUUGCCCAGGCUGAAGUGCAAUGGUGUGCUCUCGGCUCACUGCAGCCUCUGCCUCCCGGGUUCAAGCGAUUCUCAUGCCUCAGCCUCCCGAAUAGCUGGGAUUACAGGCAUGCACCACCAUGCUUGGCUAAUUUUUUUGUAUUUUUAGUAGAGACGGGGUUUCUCCAUGUUGGUCAGGCUGAUCUCGAACUCCUGACCUCAGGUGAUUCGCCCACCUUGGCCUCCCAAAGUGCUGGGAUUACAGGCAUUUUCACCACACAUGGCCAAUUAUGAGAGUUAAGCAAUUAACCUAUCCAUUGCCUUCCAUAAUUAACUGUGUGUGUAGUGAGAGUAUCUAAAAUGUACUUUCUUGGCAAAUUUUCAAUAUACUAUGCAAAAUUAUUAACACAAAGUAUACGUUACUUUUUGUUUGUUUGUUUUGGCUGGCUGCGGUGGCUUAUGCCUAAAAACAUGCCCUUUGAGGAGGCUGAGGUGGGAGGAUCACUUGAGGCCAGGAGCUAGAGACCAGCCUAGGCAACAUGUCAAAACCCAGUCUCUCAAAAAAAAAAAAAAAAAAAGAAAAAAAGGAAAAAAAAGAGAAAAGGAAAAAAAAGAAAAGAACAACAACAAAAAUUAGCCAGAUGUGGUGCAUCAUGCCAGGGUCCCAGAUACUUGGGAGGCCAAGGCGGGAGGAUCAUUCGAGCCUGGGAAAUCGAGGCUGCAGUGAGCCAUGAUCACCCCACUGCACUCCAGCUUGGGUAACAGAGCAAGACCCUGUCUCAAAAAAAAAAAAGCCUUGCUUUCCUGACCCAUUGAUCUGUUUGUUUUUUGUCCUCUGUCAGCAGCAUAUCAGCCUGAUGACAUCAGGGACUGUAUCUGUCCCCAUCAUUGCUACAGAAUCUCGCUCUGUUGCCUGGGCUGGAGUGCAGUGGCACUGUAUCCGGAAUUGGGGGGUUCUUGGUCUCACUGACUUCAAGAAUGAAGCCAUGGACCCUUGCGGUAAGUGUUCCAGCUCUUAAGGUGGCGCGUCUGGAGUUUGUUUCUUCUGAUGUUCAGGUGUGUUCAGCGUUUCUUCCUUCUGGUGGGUUCAUGGUUUCACUGGCUCAGGAGUGAAGCUGCAGACCUUCGCAGUGAGUGUUACAGCUCAUAAAAGCAGUGGGGACCCAAAGAGUGAGCAGUACAAGAUUUAUUGCAAAGAGCAAAAGAACAAAGCUUCCACAGUGUGGAAGGGGACCCAAGUGGGUUGCCACUGCUGGCUCGGGCAGCCUGCUUUUAUUCUCUUAUCUGGCCCCACCCACAUCCUGCUGAUUGGUAGAGCCCACUGGUCUGUUUUGACAGGGCGCUGAUUGGUGCGUUUACAAUUCCUGAGCUAGACACAAAGGUUCUCCACAUCCCCACCAGAUUAACUAGAUACAGAGUGUCAACACAAAGGUUCUCCAAGGCCCCACCACAGUAGCUAGAUACAGAGUGUCGAUUGGUGCAUUCACAAACCCUGAGCUAGACACAGGGUGCUGAUUGGUGUGUUUACAAACCUUGAGCUAGAUACAGAGUGCCGAUUGGUGUAUUUACAAUCCCUGAGCUAGACAUAAAGGUUCUCCAAGGCCCCACCAGAGUAGCUAGAUACAGAGUGUUCAUUGGUGCAUUCACAAACCCUGAGCUAGACAUAGGGUGAUGAUUGGUGUAUUUACAAUCCCUGAGCUAGACAAAGGUUCUCCACGUCCCCACCAGACUCAGGAGCCCAGCUAGCUUCACCCAGUGGAUCCUGCACCGGGGCUGCAGGUGGAGCUGCCUGCCAGUCCCACGCCGUGCGCCUGCACUCCUCAGCCCUUGGGUGGUGGAUGGGACUGGGCACCAUGGAGCAUGGGGCAGUGCUCGUCAGGGAGGCGCGGGCCGCACAGGAGCCCAUGGAGGGGGUGGGAGGCUCAGGCAUGGCGGGCUGCAGGUCCCGAUCCCUGCCCCGCGGGAAGGCAGCUAAGGCCUGGUGAGAAAUCAAGCGCAGCGCCGGUGCGCUGGCACUGCUGGGGGACCCAGUACACCCUCCGCAGCCGCUGUCCGGCCCGGGUGCUAAGCCCCUCAUUGCCCGGGGCCAGCAGGGCCGGACGGCUGCUCUGAGUGCAGGGUCCGCCAAGCCCACGCCCACCCGGAACUCCAGCUGGCCCACAAGCACCGCGCGCAGCCCCGAUUCCGGCUCGCGCCUCUCCCUCCACACUUCCCUGCAAGCUGAGGGAGCCAGCUCCGGCCUUGGCCAGCCCAGAAAGGGGCUCCCACAGUGCAGCGGUGGGCUGAAGGGCUCCUGAAGUGCCGCCACAGUGGGAGCCCAGGCAGAGGAGUCGCAGAGAGUGAGCGAGGGCUGUGAGGACUGCCAGCACGCUGUCACCUCUCAGCGCCAUCUCGGCUCACUGCAACCUCCACCUCCUGGGUUCAAGCAAUUCUCCGGCCUCAGCCUCCUGAGUAGCUGGGAUUAUAGGUGCGCAUCACUAUGCCCAGCUAAUUUUUGUAUUUUUAGUAGAAAUGAGGUUUCACCACAUUGGCCAGGCCAGACCAGCCUGGACAAUAGAGUGAGACCCUAUAUAGGGAUCUCACUAUAUAGAGCAAUACAGCGGGAUCACCCGACCUCGGGUGAUCCGCUCGUUGGCCUCCCAAAGUGCUAGUGUUACAAGUGUGAGCCAAUGCGCCCAGCCCUAUUCUUUUUUUUUUUUUUUUUUUUUUUGAAAUCAAGUCUUGCUCUGUCACCCAGGCUGGAGUGCAGUGGCAUGAUCUCUGCUCACCGCAACCUCCACCUCCCGAGUUCAAGUGAUUCUCCUGCCUCAGCCUCCUGAGUAGCUGGGAUUACAGGCACCCGCCACCACACCCGGCUAAUUUUUGUAUUUUUAGUAGAGACGGGGUUUCACCAUGUUGGUCAGGCGGGCCUGGAACUCGUAAUGUCAGAUGAUCCACCUGCCUCGGCCUCCUAAAGUGCUGGGAUUACAGGCAUGAGCGACCACGCCAUCUUUUUUUUUUUUUUUUAACAAAACACAGAUGUAGAAUUAGAGCCUUCAGGGGUGGGUGCAGUGGCGCUCACACCUUUAAUCCCAUCACUUUGUGAAGCCAAGGCAGGAGGAUCCCUUGAGUCUCGGUGUUUGAGACCAGCCUGGACAAUAGAAUGAGACCCUGCCUCUACGAAAAAAAAAUUAUUUUUGUUUUGAGAUGGAGUCUUGCUCUGUUGCCCAGGCUGGAGUGCAGUGGCGCAAUCUCGGCUUAUUUGCAGCCUCUGCCUCCUUGGCUCAAGUGAUUCUUCUGCGUCAGCCUCUAGAGUAGCUGGGACUACAGACGUGCACCACCAUGCUCGGCUAAUUUUUGUAUUUUUUUGUAGAGAUGGGGGUUCCACCAUGUUGGCCCGGCUGGUCUCGAACUGCUGACCUCAAGUGACCUGCCUGUCUCGGCCUCACAAAUGGCUGGGAUUACAGGCACGAGACACCGUGCCUGGCCCUGGGAACAUGUUUACAUGGACUUUGUUCACUUUUUAAAACAAACUGAGGGUAACUUACUAGAUCUGUGAACUAAAGAAAGAGAAAAAAAAGAAAGAAAACAAACAAGAACAAAGAACAAAGUGUUCUGAGGUUGCUUUUAUUCCAAGAACUCUGUGAGCUCCCACCAGCACCAUGAGGGCGCUCUCG